Molecule: ribosomal RNA, 492 nt
Filed under: uncultured bacterium
Lineage: Bacteria
Description: partial 16S ribosomal RNA
Rfam family: Bacterial small subunit ribosomal RNA
Source: RNAcentral
AGUGAACGCUGGCGGUAGGCCUAACACAUGCGAGUCGAACGGCAGCACAGUAAGAGCUUGCUCUUACGGGUGGCGAGUGGCGGACGGGUGAGGAAUACAUCGGAAUCUACUUUUUCGUGGGGGAUAACGUAGGGAAACUUACGCUAAUACCGCAUACGACCUACGGGUGAAAGCAGGGGAUCUUCGGACCUUGCGCGAUUGAAUGAGCCGAUGUCGGAUUAGCUAGUUGGCGGGGUAAAGGCCCACCAAGGCGACGAUCCGUAGCUGGUCUGAGAGGAUGAUCAGCCACACUGGAACUGAGACACGGUCCAGACUCCUACGGGAGGCAGCAGUGGGGAAUAUUGGACAAUGGGCGCAAGCCUGAUCCAGCCAUACCGCGUGGGUGAAGAAGGCCUUCGGGUUGUAAAGCCCUUUUGUUGGGAAAGAAAAGCAGCAGGUUAAUACCCCGCUGUUCUGACGGUACCCAAAGAGUAAGCACCGGCUAACUUCGUG